RNAcentral lists this unclassified non-coding RNA (213 nucleotides) under uncultured fungus. RNAcentral describes it as "sequence contains ITS1". The record is from RNAcentral. Lineage: Eukaryota; Fungi.
GUAUUAAUUGCGUGUGAUCGCAAAGAAAGACAUUCUACACUGUAUCGAGUUUGUGUGAAAACGCGAGCCCCCGGAAGGGGACCCACGCGGUGGUGCACAUAGGGGUGAGAUGGAUGUUUGAGAGCGCUCGGGCGUGCACGACAAAAAAGUCAGCGACAGCCCUUGCACCUCAGUUUUACGAUAAUGAUCCUUCCGCAGGUUCACCUACGGAAA